GACGAACGCUGGCGGCGUGCUUAACACAUGCAAGUCGAACGGUGAAGCGCCUUCCUGUUUGGUGGGGGUGGAUGAGGGGCGAACGGGUGAGUAACACGUGAGUAACCUGCCCCCUUCUUCGGGAUAACCGCAGGAAAGGGUGGCUAAUACGGGAUAUUCUGGGUCUGUCGCAUGAUGGGUCUGGGAAAGAUAUUGGUUCGGUGGGGGAUGGGCUCGCGGCCUAUCAGCUUGUUGGUCGGGUGAUGGCCUACCAAUGCGGUGACGGGUAGCCGGCCCGGGAGGGUGGACGAUCACGCCGGAAAUGAGGCACGGCCCAGCCUCGACUGGGACGCAGCAGUGAGUCAUACUGGAGGAAGCGCGCGAGCAUGAUGGAGAGUCGGCGAGUGAGUGAUGGAGCCCUGCCGGUUGUGAGCUUCUUUCGCUAGUGAAGCAGGCCUCUCUUGCCUGUGGGUGGGUUGACGGUAGCUGGAGAAUAAGCGCCGGCUAACUACGUG
This 494-nucleotide ribosomal RNA is filed under the name uncultured bacterium. RNAcentral describes it as "partial 16S ribosomal RNA". It matches the Rfam family "Bacterial small subunit ribosomal RNA", at positions 28 to 507 of the family's 1533-position model. The record is from RNAcentral.